UUUGGUGAUAAUAGCAACAGGGAUACACCUGGUUUACAUUUCGAACCCAGUAGUUAAGUCUGUUUACGCCUAAGAUACUUAGUUAUUUACUAGGGAAAAUCGGUAAUCGCCAAAC
This 115-nucleotide ribosomal RNA is filed under the name Leptotrichiaceae bacterium. The record is from RNAcentral. Lineage: Bacteria; Fusobacteriati; Fusobacteriota; Fusobacteriia; Fusobacteriales; Leptotrichiaceae.